UUAUAUUGUAGGUUCGAGCCCUAC
RNAcentral lists this non-coding RNA (24 nucleotides) under Arabidopsis thaliana (thale cress). Lineage: Eukaryota; Viridiplantae; Streptophyta; Magnoliopsida; Brassicales; Brassicaceae. The record is from RNAcentral.